This 737-nucleotide unclassified non-coding RNA is filed under the name Hevea brasiliensis (rubber tree). Lineage: Eukaryota; Viridiplantae; Streptophyta; Magnoliopsida; Malpighiales; Euphorbiaceae. The record is from RNAcentral.
AAAAAACCAAAGUCUUUGCACUUAAUGAAGAAAAAUUAGAAGUGGAAAACAAGGUUAUGCUUUCUUUUUGGAUUACAUUUAACAGCUGAAGAUCCAUUACACAAAUCAAAACCAUCAAUAAAUAUAAAACCAAACAAAUUACAUUUUAUUAACUUAAUUAUAUAUUAAACUUCUCUAAGCAAUACCUUAAUCACAGAUGCAUAACCCCAUCGAGACCUAGCAGCAUUUCCUCUGCGACCAAUCCCAAAGCACAAAGUAGAAACCGGCGAUUCGCAGUCGUCCUCAUCCACCAUUCUUGAUUCAAAAGAUUUUCUUGUAUUGGACAUUUCAUGGCGUUCUCGAGACCUCAACACAGUCGCUGGGGAAGAAAACUGCGACGAAUAUGAAGAAGAAGAAGACGAAGAUGCAGGAGAAACUGGGAAGCUGGUUCUUCUUCUUGCAGUGCGCUUGGAGAAGAUAUUACUGAAAGGAUUAGGUAUAGAGUGCUUCCUAGUGGGUGUUUUGGCUGAGGUGUAGAAGUAAGAAGGUGGUGGAGUUAGAGGAGGAAGAGGGUUUUCUCUGAAUUUGAUCUUUGGGGUUCCUGGUCUAGACUCCCAUAUGAAAGGAACUGCAACAGAAGAUCCUCCCUGGUAAUUUUCCUCAAGAGAUCUAGCCAUGAAGGGUUGGGUUGUGGUUAGAUUAUGCUUGCAGAAGAGCUCAUUAUUAUUAUUAUUCUCAUUCUCAUCAUCAAAUUCAAG